Molecule: ribosomal RNA, 259 nt
Filed under: uncultured fungus
Lineage: Eukaryota; Fungi
Description: partial 18S ribosomal RNA
Rfam family: Eukaryotic small subunit ribosomal RNA
Source: RNAcentral
UUGGAGGGCAAGUCUGGUGCCAGCAGCCGCGGUAAUUCCAGCUCCAAUAGCGUAUAUUAAAGUUGUUGCCGUUAAAAAGCUCGUAGUUGAACUUUCAUGGGCUCACGCGGUCUGCCUCACGGCAAGUACUGUGUGGGCUCGUGCUCCUGGGUGGUGAGCCGUCAUGUCGUUCACUCGGUGUGGCGGGGAACCACCUCUGUUACCUUGAGAAAAUUAGAGUGUUCAAAGCAGGCCUAUGCCCGAAUACAUUAGCAUGGAA